This 777-nucleotide ribosomal RNA is filed under the name uncultured Neocallimastigales. Its description in RNAcentral is "partial large subunit ribosomal RNA". It matches the Rfam family "Eukaryotic large subunit ribosomal RNA", at positions 24 to 634 of the family's 3401-position model. Lineage: Eukaryota; Fungi; Neocallimastigomycota; Neocallimastigomycetes; Neocallimastigales. The record is from RNAcentral.
UUAUCUCUGUAGAGUCUGCAUAUCAAUAAGCGGAGGAAAAGAAACUAACAAGGAUUCCCUUAGUAACGGCGAGUGAAGCGGGAAGAGCUCAAAUUUGAAAUCUUCAAGGUUUUACCUUGACGAAUUGUAGUUUAAAGAAGUGUUUUCUGUUGAAGUUUCGGUAAAAGUUCUUUGGAAUAGGACAUCAUAGAGGGUGAGAAUCCCGUAUUUGACCAGUUAUUUUCCAGCUGUGUGAUACACUUUCAAAGAGUCGGAUUGUUUGGGAAUGCAGUCCAAAAUGGGUGGUAAAUUUCAUCUAAAGCUAAAUACUGGCGAGAGACCGAUAGCGAACAAGUACCGUGAGGGAAAGAUGAAAAGAACUCUGAAAAGAGAGUUAAACAGUACGUGAAAUUGUCAAAAGGGAAGCGUUUGACACCAGUGUUGUUUUCUCGAAAAUCAAUUAAAAAUGGCUGAUUUUGUGUUGUAUUGACUUUAUCAAGCUUUCUUCACUCUUUUCAUUGUCUUUUUUAAUGCACUUUUCGUUUAACAAGUCAACAUCAGUUUCUUUUGUUGUAAAAGGUCAUUGGAAGGUGGCUUUCUUUUCGGAGAAAGUGUUUAUAGCCUUUGCCUCUGCAAUCGGAGAGAUUGAGGUCUACAGCGUAGAUCCUUCUGGAUUAGUUACAUUUGUGCUAAGUUAUAACCGUUUCAUAGACAACUUGUUGACUAUAUCGAUCAUGUAGCUUACUCGCUUAUGCUAAUUUUACCUACGCUUAGGAUGUUGAUAUGCAUGACUGAUAU